UGCAUCGGCCGGGAAUCAAACUUGGGGCGCCCGCGUGGCAGGCGAGCAUUCUACCACUGAACCAAAAGC
This 69-nucleotide transfer RNA is filed under the name Cordylochernes scorpioides. Its description in RNAcentral is "tRNA-Gly". Lineage: Eukaryota; Metazoa; Arthropoda; Arachnida; Pseudoscorpiones; Chernetidae. The record is from RNAcentral.